Molecule: long non-coding RNA, 2452 nt
Organism: Symphalangus syndactylus (siamang)
Lineage: Eukaryota; Metazoa; Chordata; Mammalia; Primates; Hylobatidae
Source: RefSeq, a predicted model, not a curated record
GGAAACUGCUGGGUGUGGCCCUGAAGCAUGCAUUGGCCCGUUUCCCUGCCCGCUGGCCCUGGUUGCAUCUCAUGCUCAGACUCCCUCUCCCUCCUCUCUCAAAGCAUCUUCAUACAGGGAUGGUGAUCCUCUGGGUCCUCCUGGGACUCCUGUCCUCCUGGUUGGCCUGUUCUCUAAAAACCUGAAAAAGGAAGUGAGAAGACUGCUCAAGAUGCAGCUGGACAUCAGAGCAGGAGGCUCCAGGACUGAGGUAGGGCAGGUGAGCCUGCAAGCUGGGGGUCCCUUUAUGUACUGGGGCAGGUGGGGCCAUUUGUAGGUUGAGGGUGAACAUCUCAUCUUGACUGCUGGCACUGCCUGGGCUUCCUGUGUUCUGAGACCUGAAGACAUUGCCUGAGACCAAGGCCUCACUGCUCAGCUUUUGGAGCUUCUAGAAGAGGAAUCAUGGGGCCAUCAGGCUGCAGACUGCAAGCACCCAUCCUGGCACCCCAGCACUGUCAGAAAGGGCCUGGAAGACACACCUCUCCUGACCUGAGAAACUCUCAGAUCAAUAGCUCUUUCCUGAUAUGAAAGAGGACAUGUGGGGAUACACAUCUGGCCACAUGUACACAGGGCCACCCAGGAAAGACAGCAAGGGAUGGUGACAGUCAGCUGGGUCCAUGUGUCCUCGGGAGACACCAGAAGAGGAAAUCAGGGAAAUGGAAACACCCAUGGUCCCAGGGACUUCGCAUGGCUGACAGAAGGGGCAGGGAAGGGCUGAGUCCCAUGUUUUUGGGCCUGUCCUUCCUCAACUCCCACCCCCUGAGAUGAGCGGACACAUCCCUUUACACCAAGACCUCAUCUCCCUGAAGGUUUCCCAACUUUCUGCCUGUUGUACAAAUCCUGGACUCCACCCUGUGCUGACCAGGUGUGUAUCCCUCUGCUGACCUGAGGACCUGCCUCAGACCAAGGGCCCCACCUCUCUGAGAUAUGGGAGGCAGAAAGUGAAGGGGCACUACACGGACACCCCUCAUGGGAUGCCAAAGGCUGCCAGAUGAAGCAGAUUUCUGGGGCGCCUCCUCUCUCUGGAUUUCCUCCAGAGCCUGGGCCCGCUGCCCUCAGCGGAUCACAAGCCGCCCCUCAGAACCAGGCUAUCACUUCUCUCUGACCCACUAAUGUGCAAGUCCGCAGUACCAAGCCCGGAGGUCCUUUGCGUUGACUGCAGGGACAAGGAUGGACUCUGGGGCCCCUCUAUCAGGAUGGGGUGGAACCUCUCCAUAAUUUCUCAGAGUCUUGAAGUUGAUGUCUGGAAAGGCCGGGGCCCCACCCUUUAUGGAACUGCCUCUGCCCGGGUCACACCAUAGACUAGCAGAGUCUGCUUGAGCACUGAGAGCCUGGACCGGCUGCCCUCUGCCACUCUCAAGAUACCUCUCAGAAAGACUCUUUCGCUUCUCUCAGAUCCCACAGGCGGAAGCCAAUGGAGGUCACAUCCGGUCCCCAUGCUUGGAGCUUCCCUGGAUUGACAGCAGGGGCGGAACCCGAUUCUGCCCGUGUGGGGGCGGGGCGGGGCGGGGGGAAAAGUAGUGGCGACGGGUGCAGAUGUGGUCGAGGGUCAUGGGGGUGCCUCAAUCCUCCCUCAGGUUUCUGACCUUGAUUCCUUGCAGAGCCUGGAGCUCCGUCCUCUGCCAGUGAUGUCUGCUCCUCUCAGACCAAGUCUCUGACUCUGAGUCCCCUGAGGUGGCAGUGAGCGGGAGGUGUGAGGUCGGGGGACAACAUUGCCAAGGUCUUCCGGGGCUGACAGGAGGGACCGAGCUGGAUUCUGUGGCCCCUCUAUGUGGGGAGGGUGGACCGUCGGUCCUCACUCAGGAGGGUCCUCCUCUUGGCUACCGGUUCUUUCAUGAAGUGAUGGGUGGGAGAUGCUCUGUUUCUGUCACCUCUGAGCAUUGCCCAACUGCACCCCUUGCAGAGAAUAGCUGCGGAUCCCAGGCCAGGUGCUUCCAUGUGGCUUCAGUACCCCCGUGAUUGUAGUGACCUCUUGGAGAAGAUGCACACCUUCCCACGGGGGCUCCUCCCCAGCCAGAGCUAGACUUUGCAAACUUUUGCCCUGAAAGCUUUAUUUUUACGCUGAAGAGGCUGAGUGGCUGCAAGAAAUUUGCGGAAGUCCUGCGUUUAGAAUUUAUCUAACACUUCAUAGUUCAUUUUAGUGAUUUUCAUUUUUUAAUUCUCAUUCAGUGUCAAAAAUCAUACUUAACCUAACUAUGCCUAUUUCACUCCAAUGGUCAAUACUCUAAUUUAAUCCAUUCUUUAUCUUCAAUUAAAACGAUAAUUUUAAAAAAGCCAAUCUUAUCUACUGAUGUGGUUUUAGUGGUUAUUAGCACAAAUUCCAGCCGUAUUCCUUUAAUCAACCAGUGUUUCCUCCUGUCCUGAAGUUACCCCAUGACUACUGGCACCUGUGGUCUGAGACCCUACCCUAGUU